GAACCCUUGGCACAGUGGUAGCGCGUGAGAUUCCAGUUGACCGGCUUCUACGGUUACAUGGGGAUUCCUCAAGGUCGUCCGUUCAAUCCGGGCAGGGUUCA
Molecule: non-coding RNA, 101 nt
Organism: Cubamyces sp. BRFM 1775
Lineage: Eukaryota; Fungi; Basidiomycota; Agaricomycetes; Polyporales; Polyporaceae
Source: the annotation of a GenBank genome assembly